Humulus lupulus (European hop) is the source of this 946-nucleotide long non-coding RNA. RefSeq lists it as uncharacterized. NCBI's taxonomy places the organism in Eukaryota, Viridiplantae, Streptophyta, Magnoliopsida, Rosales, Cannabaceae. The record is from RefSeq and is a predicted model, not a curated record. The transcript has 4 exons.
UUUGGGGCAUCUCUUCUCUCGGUUUCUCUAUCUCUAUCACAUCGCAUAUACUCCUCUCAGCAGCUCAGCCCCUACGGUGUCGCCUACUUCCUUCCUCUCUGUCUCCUCCCUCCGGCUACUGCCCAAACGAACGGAACGGAACGAAACAGCCCAACCUCUUCCUCUCUGUCUCUCUCAUCAUCUCCUCCUCUUCCUCUCUGUUUUGCUUAUCCCUUUGCCCAAACGAAACGAACGGAACGGACCGACACCAAGCAAACGCGACUCGGCGACAGCACUGCCCAGCCCACUCCGGCGACUGCUUCACGGACACAGUGCCUUCCCACUCCGGCGACUGCUUCACUCACGGACACAGUGACUCGAGGAAUGCAGCUUCGUUAAAACAGAACCCCUUGUCUCUUGUCAGAGAUCAUCGAGCAAAGGAGGUUAUAACUUCUCGAGGCAUGGCUGUGCUUGAAUGAACUGUGUCCCCAUUUGAUUGUUGGAAAAUGAAGAUUUUAGAGGCCAAUGCUGGUCCACUUACCAAUUUUGAAGUGAUCAAAUUUCUAAAAUCUAGAGGAGCCUUAAAAGAUCCGUCUCGGGUUCUUGCUGAUGUAGCCCCAUCUGAGUAUAAAGUUUGUAUAUUUUGUUUUGUUUUUCCUCAGUGGAUUAAAUUAGUGGUAAUUCCUUGGAGGGUGCUGUUGGAGUGAUAGUAAUUAAUCAUAUCUCCAUUAUCAGAACAAUUCCUCAAACCUUUAUUCUUCCUGCAUCUCAUCUCAAUGCCUCUCAGGGAAAUUUUGUAUAUGAAUAUUUGAAGAUUGCUAAGAAUCCUAUAGCCUACAUAUCUCGGGGAAAGAUUGAAUUGGAAGUAAAACCAUCACCAAUUAUGGCUUCAUUCUCAUCAAGAGGACCUAAUGCCCUAGAACCAUCAAUAUGGAUAUAUAUUGGAAAACACUAUUAAUUAUUAAAA